AUUGAACGCUGGCGGCAUGCUUUACACAUGCAAGUCGAACGGUAACAGGUUAAGCUGACGAGUGGCGAACGGGUGAGUAAUGCAUCGGAACGUGCCCGAUCGUGGGGGAUAACGCAGCGAAAGCUGCGCUAACACCGCAUACGAUCUGAGGAUGAAAGCGGGGGACCGUAAGGCCUCGCGCGAUCGGAGCGGCCGAUGUCAGAUUAGGUAGUUGGUGGGGUAAAGGCUCACCAAGCCAACGAUCUGUAGCUGGUCUGAGAGGACGACCAGCCACAUUGGGACAUGGACACGACCCAGACUCCUACGGGGGGCAGCAGUGGGGAAUUUUGGAGAAUGGGCGAAAGCCUGAUCCAGCAAUGCCGCGUGCAGGAAGAAGGCCUUCGGGUUGUAAACUGCUUUUGUACGGAGCGAAAAGGCCCUCUCUAAUACAGUGGGCUCAUGACGGUACCGUAAGAAUAAGCAUCGGCUAACUACGUGCCAGCCGCCGCCGUAA
This 493-nucleotide ribosomal RNA is filed under the name uncultured bacterium. RNAcentral's name for it is "partial 16S ribosomal RNA". It matches the Rfam family "Bacterial small subunit ribosomal RNA", at positions 30 to 523 of the family's 1533-position model. The record is from RNAcentral.